GACGAACCGUGCGAACGUUGUUCGGAAUCACUGGGCUUAAAGGGCGCGUAGGCGGGUGCGCAAGUCAGGGGUGAAAGCCCACGGCUCAACCGUGGAAGGGCCUUUGAUACUGCGUGUCUGGAGGGAGGUAGGGGCGUGCGGAACUUCCGGUGGAGCGGUGAAAUGCGUAGAUAUCGGAAGGAACAUCAGUGGCGAAAGCGACUUCCUGGACCAAUACUGACGCUCAUGUGCGAAAGCGUGGGGAGCAAACAGG
Molecule: ribosomal RNA, 253 nt
Filed under: uncultured bacterium
Lineage: Bacteria
Description: partial 16S ribosomal RNA
Rfam family: Bacterial small subunit ribosomal RNA
Source: RNAcentral